This 104-nucleotide small nuclear RNA is filed under the name Dasypus novemcinctus (nine-banded armadillo). Lineage: Eukaryota; Metazoa; Chordata; Mammalia; Cingulata; Dasypodidae. The record is from RNAcentral.
GUGCUUGCUUUGGCAGCCCAUAUACUAAAAUUGGAAUGAUACAGAGAUUAGUAUAGGCCCUGGGCAAGGAUGACAAGCAAAUUUGUGAAGUAUUCCAUAUUUUC